GACGAACGCUGGCGGCGUGCUUAACACAUGCAAGUCGAACGGUGAAGCGCCUUCCUUUUUGGUGGGUGUGGAUGAGUGGCGAACGGGUGAGUAACACGUGAGUAACCUGCCCCCUUCUUCUGGAUAACCGCAUGAAAGUGUGGCUAAUACGGGAUAUUCUGGGUCUGUCGCAUGAUGGGUCCGGGAAAGAUAUUGUUUCGGUGGGGGAUGGGCUCGCGGCCUAUCAGCUUGUUGGUGGGGUGAUGGCCUACCAAGGCGGUGACGGGUAGCCGGCCUGAGAGGGUGGACGGUCACACUGGGACUGAGACACGGCCCAGACUCCUACGGGAGGCAGCAGUGGGGAAUAUUGCACAAUGGGCGCAAGCCUGAUGCAGCGACGCCGCGGGAGGGAUGGAGGCCUUCGGGUUGUGAACCUCUUUCGCCAGUGAAGCAGGCCUGCCUCGUUUGUGGGUGGGUUGACGGUAGCUGGAUAAGAAGCGCCGGCUAACUACGUG
Molecule: ribosomal RNA, 494 nt
Filed under: uncultured bacterium
Lineage: Bacteria
Description: partial 16S ribosomal RNA
Rfam family: Bacterial small subunit ribosomal RNA
Source: RNAcentral